This 2921-nucleotide long non-coding RNA is filed under the name Homo sapiens (human). Its description in RNAcentral is "non-protein coding SEC24B-AS1:14". The record is from RNAcentral. Lineage: Eukaryota; Metazoa; Chordata; Mammalia; Primates; Hominidae.
ACUGAGGGUGUCACCCGGGACCGCGGCUCAGGAACCCCAGACGCACGGGCCUUGUGCUGUCGCUGCCGUGGCACCCCUUCUAGAAGUCGUGAAGGGGCCUCGUGACUGGGCCUCAUGCCAAACAACUCAUUACAAAAGGAGCUAUGGUCCCAGACCACAACGAAGCUUCAUGAGACCUCUCCUCAUCUGUGCACGGACAAGUGUCUGACUCUGGAGCCCAGGCUGUUGCUUUCCAGUCUGGUGGUGAAUCCUUCACAGUCUGAAAAUCUAGGUAUCUUGCACCAAGAAGUGGAAAAUAAAGAAGAGAAAUGAGAACCAUGUUUGUAUUGGCUGUCUAUAAAAUAAGAGUUCUAGGUACAUGAAAUCCACUGGUGUGCUGGUAAAUGUUUAAUAACCAGUCCUCUGGAAAGGAGAAAGUUGAAGACCCCAUUUAUACAUUUGCUCAUUUCUGUGGUGUAAAUACCCUGAAAAUAGCUGAUUUCGAGCUAUCAACAUUACUGAAGAUGGAGCUGGGAAGAGGGAGAAGUUAAGUGAAGUUUUCCAACCCACAGCUGUUUUGGCUGAGGCUCCAAAGACUGAGAAUAAAUCAGUAUCUGCCCAGUCACCACGGUGUGCCAAAGGAGGUGCUGGAUUGCCUCGUCAGGACAUGCUACAUGGAUGGAGAGAAGAUUCCUUGGGGAGAUUUGGUGUGUGCAUAACCAGUCCUUCCAGCACUGGAGAAAGGAGGAGUCCUGCACAGGUUGUACACGAUUCUUUCCACCUGGAAACUUGAAACAUGUGCCCUGGAGUUGAGGAUGCUUGGUUUAAUGAUACUGACCUGCAAUUGAGAAGACCAAAAGGGCGAGACAUACCUUCACGCAAGGCGAGGAUGCAUGAGUUUUCCUGUGAAGCAGGAAAGAGUUUAACAAUUCACGGUUGCACAGUAGCGCUAGCGGCUUUGCGGUUUGGUCCUCAGACCCGGCAGCCGCCACUGGUGAUGAGCUGCUAGGAAGCCCCUGUCGGCAAGCUCGUUGGAGCUUGAAUCCACUGUCACCCCUCUGACUCACUGGCAAAAAAAAAAAAAAAGUUGAAGCAGAUUGUCCAGCAAAGUUCUUCAUUGGUGGGCUUAAUACGGAAACAAAUAAGAAAGCUCUUGAAGCAGUAUUUGGCUAAUAUGGACGAAUAGUGGAAGCACUCUUGAUGAAAGAGCAUGAAACCAACAAAUCAAGAGGAUUUGCUUUUGUCACCUUUGAAAGCCCAGCAGAUGCUAAGGAUGCAGCCAGAGACAUGAAUGGAAAGUCAUUAGAUGGAAAAGCCAUCAAGGUGGAACAAGCCACCAAACCAUCAUUUGAAAGUGGUAGACGUGGACUGCCUCCACCUCCAAGAAGUAGAGGCCCUCCAAAAGGUCUUAGAGGUGGAAGAGGAAGAAGUGGAGGAACCAGGAGACCUCCCUCAUGGAGAAGACACAUGGAUGACAGUGGAUACUCCAUGAAUUUUAACAUGAGUUCUUCCAGGGGACCACUCCCAGUAAAAAGAAGACCACCACCAAGAAGUGGGGGUCCUCCUCCUAAGAGUUCUGCACCUUCAGGACCAGUUCGCAGCAGCAGUGGAAUGGGAGGAAGAGCUCCUGUGUCACGUGGAAGAGAUAGUUAGUGCGGUCCACCUGGAAGGGAACCGCUGCCCUCUCGUAGAGGGUUCUUCUUGAAGACAGUUCUUCAAGCAGAGAUUAGCCAAGUUCUCGUGAUACAAGAGGUUAUGCACCACCACCACCGCGAGAUUGUACUUACCGUGAUUAUGGUCAUUUCAGUUCACGUGAUGACUAUCCAUCAAGAGGCUAUAGCGAUAGAGAUGGAUAUAAUAGUGAUCAUGACUAUUCAGAUCAUCCAGCUGGAGAUUCCUACAGAGAUUCAUAUGAAAGUUAUCGUAACUCACGUAGUGCUCCACCUACAGGAGGGCCCCCGCCCCCCCAUCUUAUGGUGGAAGCGAUGAUUAUAGCAGUUCACGUGACGGAUAUGGUGGAAGUCGAGACAGUUACUCAAGCAGCCGAAGUGAUCUCUAAUCAAGUGGUCGUGGUCGGGUUGGCAGACAAGAAAGACGGCUUCCCCCUUCUAUGGAAAUCCUCCACGUGAUUCCCACGGCAAUUCAGGCGGUGGAGCACCAAGAGGUGGUGGCAGUGGAGGAAGCCGAUCUGAUAGAGGGGGAGGCAGAAGCAGAUACUAGAAACAAACAAAACUUUAGACCAAAAUCCCAGUUCAAAGAAACAAACAAAAAGUGCAAACUAUUCUGUCAUAACUACCCAAGGACUACUUAAAGGAAAAAUUGUGUUACCUUUUAAAAAUUCCCUGUUAAGUUCCCCUCCGUAAUUUUUAUGUUCUUGUGAGGAAAAAAGUAAAACAUGUUUAAUUUUUUUGACCUCUUAUUUUUAUUUUUUUAAAUUAUACUUUAAGUUCUAGGGUACAUGUGCACAACGUGCAGGUUUGUUAUAUAGGUAUGCAUGUGUCAUGUUGGUUUGCUGCACCCAUUAACUCGUCAUUUACAUUAGGUAUUUCUCCUAAUGCUAUCCCUCCCCCUGCCCUCCACCCCCGAAAGGCCCCGGGGUGUGAUGUUCCCUGCUCUGUGUCUAAGUGUUCUCAUUGUUCAAUUCCCAAUUAUGAGUGAGAACGUGCAGUGUUUGGUUUUCUGCCCUUGUGAUAGUUUGCUCAGAAUGAUGGUUUCCAGCUACGUCCAUGUCCCUGCAAAGGACAUGAACUCAUCCUUUUUAAUGGCUGCAUAGUAUUCCAUGGUGUAUAUGUGCCACAUUUUUUAAAUUAAUUAAUUAAUUUAUUUAUUUUUUAAUUAUUAUACUUUAAGUUUUAGGGUACAUGUGCACAUUGUGCAGGUUACUUACAUACGUAUACAUGUGCCAUGCAGGUGUGCUGCACCCACUAACUUGUCAUCUAGCA